UGCUGCCCCAUGGUUUGGAGGUGCCUGGGAAGCGUUAGUAAAGUCUGUCAAACGGGCAUUGAAAGUUAUGUUUGGGAAUGUUCUCACAGUCGAUGAAGUUUUCCUUACUGUCAUUGCCGAAGUAGAAGCGAUGCUGAACUCUCGUCCGCUUGUCUAUGGUGGAAGCAGUGAUUCACCAACAGAUCUCAGCGUGAUUAUACCAAACCACUUCUUGCAUGGCCGUGCGAGUUCGAACGUGUCGCGCGGCGAGUUUAACCAACGAGAUAUGUCGUUACGUCGAAGAUGGCGUCAUAGCCAAUUCUUAGCGAACCAAUUCUGGCGCCGAUGGUCGAAUGAGUACAUUCCGCAGUUAAUAAAGCGAAGCAAAUGGAAUGUUGCACACAGAAAUCUACGUCGCGGUGAUCUUGUCUUGAUCGUUGAGAAGGACGUACCUCGUUCGCAUUGGAGGCUCGGAAGAGUGAUUGCACCGAUCGCAAGUGAAGACGGACUGAUCAGAUCCGCGGAGAUUGCAACGAAAACUGGAACAUUGACACGUCCUGUAGGACGGUUAGCAUUACUGAAAGCUUUUAUUGAUGAGUAACGUUCCCCCCGUUCACGUCACGGGCGGGGGUGUUUUGGACUUUGUCCAGUUUAUUAUAUAGUUCAUGUUAAUUUAUUAUGGUAAUAGACUUUUGUCCAGUAACAUUGAAAAUAGAGAGGUCAGAGGA
Non-coding RNA from Paramuricea clavata, 707 nucleotides. The record is from the annotation of a GenBank genome assembly. NCBI's taxonomy places the organism in Eukaryota, Metazoa, Cnidaria, Anthozoa, Malacalcyonacea, Plexauridae.